GGUUAAGCGAAUAAGCGUACACGGUGGAUGCCUAGGCAAUCAGAGGCGAUGAAGGACGUGCUAAUCUGCGAAAAGCGUCGGUAAGGUGAUAUGAACCGUUAUACCCGACGAUAUCCGAAUGGGGAAACCCAGUAUCCAAUGGAUACUAUCAUUAACUGAAUCCAUAGGUUAAUGAGGCGAACCGGGAGAACUGAAACAUCUCAGUACCCCGAGGAAAAGAAAUCAACCGAGAUUCCCCUAGUAGCGGCGAGCGAACGGGGAGCAGCCCAGAGUCUUAAUCAAUAGCAGUGUCAGGAGAACGGUCUGGAAAGUCCGGCAGUAAAGGGUGAUAGCCCCGUAUCUGAAGAUGCUGUUAUUGUGAACUCGACGAGUAGGGCGGGACACGUGUUAUCCUGUCUGAAUAUGGGGGGACCAUCCUCCAAGGCUAAAUACUCCUGAUUGACCGAUAGUGAACCAGUACCGUGAGGGAAAGGCGAAAAGAACCCCGGCGAGGGGAGUGAAAAAGAACCUGAAACCGUGUACGUACAAGCAGUAGGAGCCUCUUUAUGGGGUGACUGCGUACCUUUUGUAUAAUGGGUCAGCGACUUAUAUUCUGUAGCAAGGUUAACCGUAUAGGGGAGCCGUAGGGAAACCGAGUCUUAACUGGGCGAAUGAGUUGCAGGGUAUAGACCCGAAACCCGGUGAUCUAUCCAUGGGCAGGUUGAAGGUUGGGUAACACUAACUGGAGGACCGAACCGACUAAUGUUGAAAAAUUAGCGGAUGACUUGUGGAUGGGGGUGAAAGGCCAAUCAAACCGGGAGAUAGCUGGUUCUCCCCGAAAGCUAUUUAGGUAGCGCCUCGUGAACUCAUCUUCGGGGGUAGAGCACUGUUUCGACUAGGGGGUCAUCCCGACUUACCAACUCGAUGCAAACUGCGAAUACCGAAGAAUGUUAUCACGGGAGACACACGGCGGGUGCUAACGUCCGUCGUGAAGAGGGAAACAACCCAGACCGCCAGCUAAGGUCCCAAAGUCAUGGUUAAGUGGGAAACGAAGUGGGAAGGCUCAGACAGCCAGGAUGUUGGCUUAGAAGCAGCCAUCAUUUAAAGAAAGCGUAAUAGCUCACUGGUCGAGUCGGCCCGCGCGGAAGAUGUAACGGGGCUAAACCAUGCACCGAAGCUGCGGCAGCGACACAUAGUGUUGUUGGGUAGGGGAGCGUUCUGUAAGCCUGCGAAGGUGUACUGUGAGGUAUGCUGGAGGUAUCAGAAGUGCGAAUGCUGACAUAAGUAACGAUAAUGCGGGUGAAAAACCCGCACGCCGGAAGACCAAGGGUUCCUGUCCAACGUUAAUCGGGGCAGGGUGAGUCGACCCCUAAGGCGAGGCUGAAAAGCGUAGUCGAUGGGAAACGGGUUAAUAUUCCCGUACUGGUGGUAACUGCGAUGGGGGAACGGAGAAGGCUAGGUUGUCCGGGCGACGGUCGUCCCGGUUCAAGCAGGUAGGCAGAGUGAUUAGGCAAAUCCGGUCACUUAAUGCUGAGAUGUGAUGACGAACCACUAAGGUGGUGAAGCAAUUGAUGCCCCGCUUCCAGGAAAAGCCUCUAAGCUUCAGGUUACCAACAAUCGUACCCCAAACCGACACAGGUGGUCAGGUAGAGAAUACUCAGGCGCUUGAGAGAACUCGGGUGAAGGAACUAGGCAAAAUGGUGCCGUAACUUCGGGAGAAGGCACGCUGGCGGUAGGUAAAGUCCCUCGCGGACAGAGCUGAAGCCAGUCGAAGAUACCAGCUGGCUGCAACUGUUUAUUAAAAACACAGCACUGUGCAAACACGAAAGUGGACGUAUACGGUGUGACGCCUGCCCGGUGCUGGAAGGUUAAUUGAUGGGGUUAGCGCAAGCGAAGCUCCUGAUCGAAGCCCCAGUAAACGGCGGCCGUAACUAUAACGGUCCUAAGGUAGCGAAAUUCCUUGUCGGGUAAGUUCCGACCUGCACGAAUGGCGUAAUGAUGGCCAGGCUGUCUCCACCCGAGACUCAGUGAAAUUGAACUCGCUGUGAAGAUGCAGUGUACCCGCGGCAAGACGGAAAGACCCCGUGAACCUUUACUAUAGCUUGACACUGAACAUUGAGCCUUGAUGUGUAGGAUAGGUGGGAGGCUUUGAAGUGUGGACGCCAGUCUGCAUGGAGCCAACCUUGAAAUACCACCCUUUAACGUUUGAUGUUCUAACCUAGGCCCAUAAACUGGGUCGGGGACCGUGUCUGGUGGGUAGUUUGACUGGGGCGGUCUCCUCCUAAAGAGUAACGGAGGAGCACGAAGGUUGGCUAAGCAUGGUCGGACAUCAUGCGGUUAGUGCAAAGGCAUAAGCCAGCUUGACUGCGAGAGUGACGGCUCGAGCAGGUACGAAAGUAGGUCUUAGUGAUCCGGUGGUUCUGAAUGGAAGGGCCAUCGCUCAACGGAUAAAAGGUACUCCGGGGAUAACAGGCUGAUACCGCCCAAGAGUUCAUAUCGACGGCGGUGUUUGGCACCUCGAUGUCGGCUCAUCACAUCCUGGGGCUGAAGUAGGUCCCAAGGGUAUGGCUGUUCGCCAUUUAAAGUGGUACGCGAGCUGGGUUUAGAACGUCGUGAGACAGUUCGGUCCCUAUCUGCCGUGGGCGUUGGAAGAUUGAGAGGGGUUGCUCCUAGUACGAGAGGACCGGAGUGAACGCACCACUGGUGUUCGGGUUGUCAUGCCAAUGGCAUUGCCCGGUAGCUAAGUGCGGAAGAGAUAACCGCUGAAAGCAUCUAAGCGGGAAACUUGCCUCGAGAUGAGUCUUCCCUGUCGCUUUAAGCGACCUAAAGGAACGUUUAAGACUAAGACGUUGAUAGGCUGGGUGUGUAAGCGUAGCGAUACGUUGAGCUAACCAGUACUAAUGAACCGUGAGGCUUAACCUG
This 2901-nucleotide ribosomal RNA is filed under the name Proteus mirabilis. RNAcentral describes it as "23S ribosomal RNA". It matches the Rfam family "Bacterial large subunit ribosomal RNA". The record is from RNAcentral. Lineage: Bacteria; Pseudomonadati; Pseudomonadota; Gammaproteobacteria; Enterobacterales; Morganellaceae.